Molecule: ribosomal RNA, 253 nt
Filed under: uncultured bacterium
Lineage: Bacteria
Description: partial 16S ribosomal RNA
Rfam family: Bacterial small subunit ribosomal RNA
Source: RNAcentral
UACGGAGGGUGCAAGCGUUAUCCGGAUUCACUGGGUUUAAAGGGUGCGUAGGCGGGCAAGUAAGUCAGUGGUGAAAUCUCCGGGCUUAACCCGGAAACUGCCAUUGAUACUAUUUGUCUUGAAUACUGUGGAGGUCAGCGGAAUAUGUCAUGUAGCGGUGAAAUGCUUAGAUAUGACAUAGAACACCAAUGGCGAAGGCAGCUGGCUACACAAAUAUUGACACUGAGGCACGAAAGCGUGGGGAUCAAACAGG